This 153-nucleotide unclassified non-coding RNA is filed under the name uncultured Xylariales. Its description in RNAcentral is "sequence contains ITS1". Lineage: Eukaryota; Fungi; Ascomycota; Sordariomycetes; Xylariales. The record is from RNAcentral.
AAGAGUUGUAAAACUCCCAAACCCAUGUGAACUUACCUUCGUUGCCUCGGUGGGCUACCCGGUAGCUACCCUGUAGUUACCCUGUAGCUUGCCGACGGUAUUCUAAACUCUUGUUUAAUAGUAUCAUCUCUGAGUAAACUUUUAAAUAAGUCA